UACGGGGGGGGCAAGCGUUGUUCGGAAUUACUGGGCGUAAAGGGCUCGUAGGCGGCCAACUAAGUCGGACGUGAAAUCCCUCGGCUUAACUGGGGAACUGCGUCCGAUACUGGAUGGCUUGAGUUCGGGAGAGGGAUGUGGAAUUCCAGGUGUAGCGGUGAAAUGCGUAGAUAUCUGGAGGAACACCGGUGGCGAAGGCGGCAUCCUGGACCGACACUGACGCUGAGAGACGAAAGCUAGGGGAGCGAAUGGG
RNAcentral lists this ribosomal RNA (253 nucleotides) under uncultured bacterium. RNAcentral describes it as "partial 16S ribosomal RNA". It matches the Rfam family "Bacterial small subunit ribosomal RNA", at positions 524 to 776 of the family's 1533-position model. The record is from RNAcentral.